Molecule: ribosomal RNA, 490 nt
Filed under: uncultured bacterium
Lineage: Bacteria
Description: partial 16S ribosomal RNA
Rfam family: Bacterial small subunit ribosomal RNA
Source: RNAcentral
GAUGAACGCUGGCGGCGUGCCUAAUACAUGCAAGUCGAGCGAACAGACGAGGAGCUUGCUCCUCUGACGUUAGCGGCGGACGGGUGAGUAACACGUGGAUAACCUACCUAUAAGACUGGGAUAACUUCGGGAAACCGGAGCUAAUACCGGAUAAUAUAUUGAACCGCAUGGUUCAAUAGUGAAAGACGGUUUUGCUGUCACUUAUAGAUGGAUCCGCGCCGCAUUAGCUAGUUGGUAAGGUAACGGCUUACCAAGGCGACGAUGCGUAGCCGACCUGAGAGGGUGAUCGGCCACACUGGAACUGAGACACGGUCCAGACUCCUACGGGAGGCAGCAGUAGGGAAUCUUCCGCAAUGGGCGAAAGCCUGACGGAGCAACGCCGCGUGAGUGAUGAAGGUCUUCGGAUCGUAAAACUCUGUUAUUAGGGAAGAACAAAUGUGUAAGUAACUAUGCACGUCUUGACGGUACCUAAUCAGAAAGCCACGGCUAA